GGUUCGAUCACAAUCCGGUCGACGCUGGCGGGAUGCUUUACACAUGCAAGUCGGGCAACGCAGCACGGACUUCGGUCUGGUGGCGAGUGGCGAACGGGUGAGUAAUAUCGGAACGUGCCUAGUAGCGGGGGAUAACUACGCUUACAGCGCAGCGCUAAUACCACAUACGCCCUUCGAGGAAAGCGGGGGACUUCGGGCCCUCGCACUAGCCGACGGCCGAUAUCGGAUUAGCUAGUUGGUGGGGUAACGGCUCACCAAGGCGACGAUCCGUAGCUGGUUUGAGAGGACAAUUAACCACACUGGGACUGAGACACGGCCCAGACUCCUACGGGAGGCAGCAGUGGGGAAUUUUGGACAAUGGGGGAAACCCUGAGUCAGCCAUCCCAUGGUCAGUGCGAUGAAGGCCCCUUCCGGGUUGUAAAGCACUUUUUGGCAGAAAGAAACGGCACGGGAUAAUACCCCGUGCAACUGACGGUUACCUGCAGAAUAAGCACCGGCUAACUACGUGCCAACUGACCGCAGUAAUACGUAGGGUGCAAGCGUUAAUCGGAAUUACUGGGCGUAAAGCGUGCGCAGGCGGUUCGGAAGAAAGAUGUGAAAUCCCAGAGCUUAACUUUGGAACUGCAUUUUUAACUACCGAGCUAGAGAUUCUGUGUCCAGAGGGAGGUGGAAUUCCGCGUGUAGCAGUGAAAUGCGUAGAUAUGCGGAGAAGACACCGGUGGCGAAAGGCGGCCUCCUGGGAUAACACUGACGCUCAUGCACGAAAGCGUGGGAGCAAACAGGAUUAGAUACCCUGGUAGUCCACGCCCUAAACGAUGUCAACUAACUGUUGGGGCCUUCAGGCCUUGGUAGCACAGCUAACGCGUGAAGUUGACCGCCUGGGAGUACGGUCACAAGAUUAAAACCCAAAGGAAUUGACGGGACCCGCACAAGCGGUGGAUGAUGUGGAUUAAUUCGAUGCAACGCGAAAAACCUUACCUACCCUUGACAUGUCUGGAAUCCCGAAGAAGAGAUUUGGGAGUGCUCGCAAAGAGAGAACCGGAACACAGGUGCUGCAUGGCUGUCGUCAGCUCGUGUCGUGAGAUGUUGGGUUAAGUCCCGCAACGAGCGCAACCUUGUCAUUAGUUGCUACGAAAGGGCACUCUAAUGAGACUGCCGGUGACAAACCGGAGGAAGGUGGGGAUGACGUCAAGUCCUCACGCUGGCCCUUAUGGGUAGGGCUUCACACGUCAUACAAUGGUCGGGACAGAGGGUCGCCAACCCGCGAGGAGCCAAUCCCGAAACCCGAUCGUAGUCCGGAUCACCAGUCUGCAACUCGACUGCGUGAAGUCGGAAUCGCUAGUAAUCGCGGAUCAGCAUGUCGCGGUGAAUACGUUCCCGGGUCUUGCUUACACACCGCCCCGUCACACCAUGGGAGUGGGUUUACCAGAAGUAGUUAGCCUAACCGUAAGGAGGGCGAUUACCACGGUAGGAUUCAUGACUGGGGUGAAGUCGUAACAAGGUAG
Molecule: ribosomal RNA, 1505 nt
Filed under: uncultured Bordetella sp.
Lineage: Bacteria; Pseudomonadati; Pseudomonadota; Betaproteobacteria; Burkholderiales; Alcaligenaceae
Description: partial 16S-23S ribosomal RNA intergenic spacer
Rfam family: Bacterial small subunit ribosomal RNA
Source: RNAcentral